CGGGAACUCAAAGGAGACUGCCAGUGAUAAACUGGAGGAAGGUGGGGAUGACGUCAAGUCAUCAUGGCCCUUACGACCAGGGCUACACACGUGCUACAAUGGCGCAUACAAAGAGAAGCGACCUCGCGAGAGCAAGCGGACCUCAUAAAGUGCGUCGUAGUCCGGAUUGGAGUCUGCAACUCGACUCCAUGAAGUCGGAAUCGCUAGUAAUCGUGGAUCAGAAUGCCACGGUGAAUACGUUCCCGGGCCUUGUACACACCGCCCGUCACACCAUGGGAGUGGGUUGCAAAAGAAGUAGGUAGCUUAACCUUCGGGAGGG
RNAcentral lists this ribosomal RNA (319 nucleotides) under Salmonella enterica subsp. enterica serovar Montevideo. RNAcentral describes it as "bacterial SSU rRNA". It matches the Rfam family "Bacterial small subunit ribosomal RNA", at positions 1132 to 1450 of the family's 1533-position model. The record is from RNAcentral. Lineage: Bacteria; Pseudomonadati; Pseudomonadota; Gammaproteobacteria; Enterobacterales; Enterobacteriaceae.